Molecule: long non-coding RNA, 6827 nt
Organism: Mus musculus (house mouse)
Lineage: Eukaryota; Metazoa; Chordata; Mammalia; Rodentia; Muridae
Product: predicted gene, 36287
Exons: 8
Source: RefSeq, a predicted model, not a curated record
UAUUCUGCAGUGGUCCACCAAGCUGUCUACUCCCGACUCCUGUGCAUCCACUAGACUAUGUCUUUGCAUCUUCUAAGGUUGUCUGCAGUCCUGCCAACGGUUCUUGGUAGCAUUAGAAAACACAGUGGCCUGAGAAACAGUGAGGAGCAGUAAGUGUCGGGUAAGUGGUGGUUGGAGUGAGAAGCUGUGUGUGAGAAACUGCAGGCACGGCCCACGCCCAUGCAGCACCCGAGAGGAAGCAGGGAAGUGGGCUGUGGGCUUGGACCAUUGUUGGAAUGAGAGAGAAGGACCCUUUCUCAGGAGGAAUUCUGAUGUGCAGUGUGAUCAGGAUGUGAGCUGAGCCCCCAGAGUAGAACUGGCUUUGAGAGGGUCUCGCUAUAAAGACAAAAAAGCUCCUGCCCUGCAGGGUUGUACACACCAUCUGGGAAGCUUGGGGAAGAGUUUCUGCUUCUAGCCCAGGCCGGGCUGGACUCCCAGGGGGUCAGGCUUGGACUCAUCUCGAAUGCCAUUAGGUGCCCAGGUCAUAAUGGAGGACUGAGGCACAGGAGUGAAGUCUGGGCUGUGGAGACAUCUGCAGACAUUCCAGGCCCAGCCCUCUCUUCCCCCUGGAAUGGGCUUGCCUCAGACAUCCUCUUUAGCUCUCAUCCCUCAGUGAGGUCCUUAUUGACAAUUCAUUUAAUGUUCAACCCACCUCCGCCCUCCACGUCCGCCCUCUCCACCCGUUUGACUUCCCCCAUGCCUCUUCUCCCUGUGAUCUUUAACCUACUGCGUAACUUAUUUAUGUACCAAGCCUGUCAUUGAUGGUCUGUCUCUCCAUCCAGAAUGUAGGUCCUCAAAAGUGUUUAGUGGAAAAAUGAGGAAAUGAGAGCCCUAAGUCUGGCUCUUGGGGACAGAGACAGUUCUUCUCCUACCUCUUCUAAGGAAGAAAAAAAAAAUAAGUGUGAUUGUUGGAAACACAGUGACUCUGCCAAAACACCUAGAAUCAGCUCCAUGGGCGGGAAGGAUUUCCGUCAAAUUUUGGUGUUCUGAGAACUGAUUUGCCAACAGAUGUGAUGAUGAAGGCUACCCUGCCAGGUGGAGGUCACGAGUGUCUCUACCACUAUCUUGUGCCCAGUUUAUCUGUAGAGUUGACUCCCCUACUCUCCUCACAGAAAAACUGAGGCUCAGGGGAAGUUGCAUGGCUUGCCCAUCAGGGAUCGGUAGCUUCCAGAAAGCUUUAUAAUCCCCACUGACUGGCCCAGCUCUGUGCCUCAGCUAGAAUGUAGCAGAACCCUGCCUCAUCGGGAAGCCCAAGGAGUGAGCAGAGCCCUGCUAUUCCAGUAUUUCCUCCUGAGGCUACAGUUCCAGCACUCCAGGAGGAAGGAUGAUGUCUGGAGAGGCACAAAGGCGUUUUCUGUUCUGGGUAAUUUUAUGUUCAGGUAACAAGUCACUGUCAACCCCAGUUGCCCGCCAUGCUGAAGACCUCUGGGCCUCGGUCCUACUUUCUAUCUGCACUUGGACCUUCGUGGUCAGUACUCAAUUCUACAGGCACAGGAAACACAUCCACACCUCUCACCCUCUGCCUCCCGACUGCGAAGUCUGCACUUAACGAAUAUCUCUCUUAUCCAUGCAGGAGAGAUGGGGGAGUUCCCACGAAUCCCUGCCCAAUGUCAUCCAGAGUGUUAGAGGACACUCAACCCUGGUGAUUCAGCAGCUCACUAUGUAGACCAGGCUGGCUUUGAAUUCACAGAGAUCCACCUGCCUCUGCCUCCCAGAGUGCUGGGAUUUAAGGCAUGCACCACACCUGGCAUGCUUUGUUUUUAAGUCAUACCUUCAGUUUAACAUGGCUGGAGGCCUGCGUUCCACCCAACAGGUGCUCCUGUGGUGUGCUGGAACUUCUCCCAGCCCCCUCCCCCUGUAGAGGUCAAUCAAAUGCCCUUCAGUUUAUUUGAGUGUGUGUGGUGUGUGUGUUUAUGGUCACCAUGCAAGUGGAUCUGGUUGGAAAGAUUGCUUGCUUGGCUUCCUCGAGGUGUCCUUCCUCCAAGUUGUAAAACUAUUCACACAUAAUCUACUUAAGCACACAUUCAAGGCUGAGAUUGGUGGUAGCCUAAGGAAGAGAAAUUGCUUGAUGUGUUUAUUGUCACUGUCUGCAAAGGAUCGGUGACUCCUGGUCAUGGGACACAGAGCACUGACUGCGGAUCUCUAUGACUGGAAUUCCACAAGGCACAGAGUUUUGAUCUGUGUGGAGUUUACCCAGGGACAGCCACAGAUGCUAACUCAAGUGCUUUUUGUCUGGAAUUCUCUUAACCUCAGGCCAGCACCUGUCAUCUUUAUGGCUUUUGCAUGGGCCCAGAUGGGGGUAGGGGAGGGAGUGUCUUCUACAACAGUUAUUUUUCUCUCUGAAGCUGCAUACAAAAGUGUCCUAUCAAGAGGGAAUUCUGGGUAGUGUUGCUUCUAGGGGAGACUAUUAAGAGGAUUUUUUACCUUGAUCUUUCCUGCAGAGAUAUCCAUCUUCCUAGGUCAAAGGGCAGCUAAACAGAAACAACGAAGCCUCAGGUAGCCUUGUGACAGUUUCCACUCGGGACAUUAACCUCAUCAGCAGAUCACCCAAGAGGCAGCCGACUGAAGAGGCACGGAAUUCUUACAACAUGGAAAGCGUGUUUAUUAUUCUUUUACUUGACAAGGAACCAGAGGCUACAGAUGCUGAGAGACUCAGUUGAGGUGAGGACCCCAGCCCAGGCUGCAAGGGGUGUCUACUACCUCGAAGAAGAUUGUGUGUGUAUGUGUGGAUCAGAACUCAACUGAACUUGAAAUGCCAGGCCUGCUGUUUCACACGCUCUGGACAUCAUGAAGACAGUUUUCCCUCCUAGCCUCGGCUCCUACUGUAGCAGUGAGAUGAACCUGCAUCUAAGGGGGCUUGCUCAGUGUCUCUCUACUGGCUGUUCUGGAACUUACUAUAUAGAUGAGACUAGCUUUGAACUCACAGAGAUCCAUCUGUUUCUGCCCCCUGAGUGCUGGGAUCAAAGUGUAAGAUCAGGGAAUGAGCAAUGUGGUCGACUGCCAGUGACUAAGUCAGCGGGGCAGACUAUCCAGCCAAGCAGUUACCAAGUUGUCUGAAGGUUAAUGCCAACAACGAGAUCAAUACAUUAGCAAAGGCAACCACACUUCCUGCCAGAGGAAAGCAAGUGUUUCUAGAAAGUGGCCCAGAUCUGGACUCAGAAGAUGCACUGUGAGGACAUCCAAACCGCUCGGUCUCAGUCCUGGAUGAGAGGAGGUGCCAGCUGAGACCAGGGUCUGCUCAGGCGCAUUUGCUCACCACCUAUGGGAUGCCAAGUGCCUCCAUGGACUCUCAGAGAAGACUGGGUGUGUUCAGGACGCUAUGGCCAUGAUACAUAUUCUAAGUGUACAUUGAGGGCAACGAGGAGAAUCUGCUGAAGGCCUUGCAGGCCUCACCUGGGUGUCCUGCCCGAUAGAAUAGACUGAGGACAAUGAGACACAGGCUAGAGGCUUGUUCUUGGACAGACCCUCUGCCCUGAGCUCCACAUAAACACUUAGUGGGCUCUCAUUCCAGUCAGCAUGAGGCCUGCCUCAUCCUGAACUCAGCAAUCUCACUGUGGGGCCUUUUACCUUAUGAUCUCCCAUUGCCAUCCAAAGAGCUUGUGCUUGAUCUCCAGCCACCGGUUAAUACUCACAGGUCUUACUCAUGUUUCCGCAUCCUCUGCAUCCUUCAUUCUGUACCACACUGCCUCAGAGGAGUGAUCCAUCACCUCUCUGAUUUCCAGGAGAGCAAUGAGAGGACACAAAGGGAAGUUGCCAAGUCACCUAAAAUAACACCAGCUGAACCUUCCAGUGCCUCUGUCCUCUAGAAUUCCUAUAUGUCCCCUCCUUGGUAAGUGGCACACAUAGACGAGAUUGAACACUCACUGUCCCUAAGGCCUCUGAGCACUCUGUGGACUUGAACUCUCUAGAACCGAAGACUACUUUCUCCUAGGAGGCUUGCUCAGUUCAGUCUGAGGUGGCCUUGAGUCAGGACUUUGCUUUGCUAUCUCAGGGCUAUCUGUGAUCCCGUUACGUUAUAACAGGAGGUGUGCUUCAUUUGGUGUCCAUGUUGGUUGGAUUCCUGUUACUACUUUUAUGUGAUGGGGCCUCUCAUCCCAACCUUAUGCCCAUGGUGCACACCAAUGCAGACAGUCACAAUGAAGCUUGGUGACCUUGGGGCUAACUUUUCUACUUUAUAGGUGAGAAAAGUCAGACUUUAAGGGCUUAAAAGAGCUUCUAGAAGCCACAGAGAUGGUCAACCAGUCACACCUAUGAACCUCUCAUCUCGAAAUGUAAUGUUUUUCCCAUGUAAAUGCAGCCUUGUCAGCCAAACUGUCCCCAAGGUGGACUAUGUUGCUGAGAGCUACGUGUGGUUUCCAGGGACAUGGGGGAGGCAGGCUGUAGGUCAGCUGCUCAGUGGCCUACCGUUGCUUCUGAUAUCAGGUUGUUCUAAAACCCAGGGAACCCUUGAUCAUCUAAGGGACCUGAGUCAUGUCCCCACCCCUACACACACACACACACACACACACACACACACACACUUCAAACCAUAAGCUGGAGUUCUAACCACAGAGUGUGACGGUUUGGAGGUACCAGACCUAGAGCCUUAAAGAGAUUCCGUCAAAGUGAGAUCAUGGGGGUGGCCCUCAUGAAGGCUGACUCAGUCCUAAUAUGAAGAGAUGAGGAUUUAAGCUCACAGGAAGAUGGAAGCCCAUGAGGACAAGGGGGAAAGCCAGGGAGAGAGGAUCCAAGAGGAAGCUUGCUUUUGGGCUUCUGGUGCAUAACUCUCUGAUAUAGGUCGUUUUUUAAUGGAGGUCAAAGCAGACAAAAGGAGAUGAGAUAAUUUCAUCAUGGGGAUUCCACUGAUGUGAUGCCAAACACUGGUAAGCACAGAUUCCACUGUUGGCCACUGUGAUCUUGUCCCCGUAGCUCACUGCAAGCUGAACAGAUGACAUUAGAUCUUGGAGUUGACUUUUGUCCACUUGGGAGAUACACCCUGGUCCCUUCAGUCCUCAGGAUCACUCUCCUCUCAAAUGCCUUCUGAGGUGGUGGUGGUGGCUUCUCCAUCCAUGGCCCUGUUUUUCUGGCAGGUUCUGUCUGAUGAGCAGGCCAGCUCAGCAGGAGGGAAGGUGUAGUAAGUUAUAAAGCUGUGCUGGAAGAUGAGGAGAGAGGCUGGCCAGAUGGAAUGGGAGUGGGUGUCGCCUCCAUUCUGUCACAAGAUGGCAGGAGCAUGACAGUCUUCUAUGCCAGAAGGAUGUGAGACUAGCCAAGAACAAGACCCCUGUCCCAGGUGGAGCUGGGGCUAGACCCCCACCUUCUGAUAUUUGUCAGAUCGGUCUCAUUCAGGAAGCAUACAAGACAUACACAUCUUCAGAUUCUGAUGUUUCUAACACGAGGCAUAGCCUUCAUGGCAAUGGAAACUGUGAGUUUGCUCUUUCUUCUCUGUCUGAGGUAUGAUUCAGCCAAUGAAUGGCUGUCACCAUCUAUCAUGUGAUAGCCACUGUGAGGGUCAGGGGGAAGGAAGCUCACACUUACCUCAGCCAUCUGAUAAUAUCCUUGUCACUUACAUGGCUUACCCCUGGCUUUCUUUUUGGUCAUCCUGUGAGAUAAGCAAGCCAGAAGUAGGGCUAGGGCAGGGCUCUCUUCCCAUGGAAAUGCAUCCUUGUCAGGCUUGGCAUUUGCUUCCAGAGCUGAGUGCCUCAGCCAGCAUCACAGCCGCUUCCUUACAGCUCCUGUCAGUGAAGGGCUGUUCUGGGUCUUUCUCUGGGAGAGUCACAGUUCUGCAUAGGCCUUGUGCUGUCUCUUGAUAAGCUCUUGGGCAUCAUUUUAGCAUCAAUUGAACAUGCAGAGUCGCUCUUACAGGGUGGGAGAUGGACUUGGUGACAUUUUUUUGGAAAGGAAACAGAUGAGGUGACAAAACUUCAGAAUGGCUCCAAGUGACAUGGGUUCAAUAAUUAGCAGCACAUUAUGUCCUUCAGUGAUUUAAUACCUACUGUAUAUGUCGUGUUCAUGGGGCUUAGGGACUGGUGUGCCCCAAGGUCACAUAGCCAGAAAGGAGCUGAGCUGGGGGCCACAAUCAUGUCUGUCCUGGAACUAGGGUGAGUCCUUAUAUGUGGCCACACUGUUUCUGUUAUAGAGACAUUUACUUAGUUUUAUGGCCUAUAGGUCCUGGGCUAUGUGAUAGAGACUUCAAGAAACUCCCACAGUCUGGCAUCGACUGUACCCCAGAACCAUGGAUGUAUGGAACUGGUGGAAAGUCAAGGAAGGAAAUAUGUCUUAGAAAAAUUGAAGUAUAUGUUUAUUUAAACAAACCAAACCAAACCAAUCCUGCAAUGUUCCCUACCGUAAAGCUCAAAAUACAAAAGGUAAGAGGUCACAAGGAGAACAGUUACCUCUAACUUUUCCUGCAGAAGUCAGCUCCGGGUACUUGCCAAUGUAAGUUCUGUUCUGUUUCCCCUACACAUCAGUUUUCUUGAAAAGUUGUAAUUAUCCAUUGAUUGUAGGUUCAGCAGACAAAACCUUGGUUGUUCUCAUUUUCCAUUUUCUUCCUGAUAUCCGUACAGUUCCCAUGCAGCUGCGCUCAAGCAGGGACCAGUAGAAGAAAACAAAACACCCAGCGUGGUGUUCUCCUGUCUUCAUUUAGAGUUUAAUGCACAGCUCCCCGUUCCCACCCUCUGUGUCUAGCAUCUUUUAAGUGAACACAUAGCUUAAUACUCUUGUGUGCUGCAUUGUCUCCUGUGGGUGGCGAUUUAUGUGUCUCCCAGGAUUUCAGAAUGUAGCCUGUGCUCAAUAAAUAACAACACAAUGGA